RNAcentral lists this ribosomal RNA (162 nucleotides) under uncultured bacterium. RNAcentral describes it as "partial 16S ribosomal RNA". It matches the Rfam family "Bacterial small subunit ribosomal RNA", at positions 330 to 509 of the family's 1533-position model. The record is from RNAcentral.
ACAGUGCUCCUACGGAAGGCAGCAGUGGGGAAUAUUGCACAAUGGGGGAAAUCCUGAUGCAGCGACGCCGCGUGAAGGAAGAAGUAUCUCGGUAUGUAAACUUCUAUCAGCAGGGAAGAUAGUGACGGUACCUGACUAAGAAUCCCCGGCUAACUACGUGCC